CAGGUUGAUAGGUCUGAGGUGGAAGUGUGGCGACACAUGGAGCUGACAGAUACUAAUCGAUCGAGGACUUAACCAUAUUU
Molecule: ribosomal RNA, 80 nt
Filed under: Bacillus subtilis
Lineage: Bacteria; Bacillati; Bacillota; Bacilli; Caryophanales; Bacillaceae
Description: partial 23S ribosomal RNA
Source: RNAcentral